This is a long non-coding RNA of Ostrea edulis (European flat oyster), 897 nucleotides long. RefSeq lists it as uncharacterized. The record is from RefSeq and is a predicted model, not a curated record. NCBI's taxonomy places the organism in Eukaryota, Metazoa, Mollusca, Bivalvia, Ostreida, Ostreidae. The transcript is spliced from 3 exons.
UAUAAGUGCAUCGGUAAGAUAAAGAACAUAUCCUGAACAAUUGUCGGCAUUUAUUGAUCUGUAACCAGUGUUGGAGAUGCAUGUAGGUGAUUUACAAAGAAUGGCAAGCAAUAACAGUCUGUACAGAUGUAGAGCUCAUGGCGGGUGUGACUAGUCAACGGGAUAUGCUUACUCCUCCUAGGCACCUGAUCCCUACUUCUGUGUCUCCAGGGAUCCGUGCUUGUCUUGUUCUCGAUAUGGUAUUGUUUAUGUGAUUUGGGUCCUUCUCGGAUAUUUGAAAAUAAUAAUGACAAUGAAGUUGUUUUACAUGUACAUCCCACAACUUAUGAUUUACCUGUCUAAGGUAAUAUACAUGAUAAUGGAGGUGUAUCGUCUUCCUUGUCUCCCAUGUUGAAUGAUUUGUCUCCCGUUGAAGGACAGACACCUGAUUUACCUGCCGAUACACUUGUAACAUCAGCCUUGUGUCCCGCAGUGAAUGAUUUACCUGCUGAUGCACCUGUAACAUCAGCCUUGUGUCCCGCAGUGAAUGAUUUACCUGCCGAUACACCUGUAACAUCAGCCUUGUGUCCCGCAGUGAAUGAUUUACCUGCUGAUGCACCUGUAACAUCAGCCUUGUGUCCCGCAGUGAAUGAUUUACCUGCCGAUACACCUGUAACAUCAGCCUUGUGUCCCGCAGUGAAUGAUUUACCUGCCGAUACACCUGUAACAUCAGCCUUGUGUCCUGCAGUGAAUGAUUUACCUGCUGAUGCACCUGUAACAUCAGCCUAGUGUCCCGCAGUGAAUGAUUUACCUGCCGAUACACCUGUAACAUCAGCCUUGUGUCCCGCAGAGAAUGAUUUACCUGUUGUGGAUAUAUCAUAAUUUUAUUUAUUCAAAAAUACGAUUUGUGCAAAUGAA